GUCCACGCCCUAAACGAUGUCAACUAGGUGUUGGGAGGGUAAAACCUUUUAGUACCGGAGCUAACGCGUGAAGUUGACCGCCUGGGGAGUACGGCCGCAAGGUUAAAACUCAAAGGAAUUGACGGGGACCCGCACAAGCGGUGGAUGAUGUGGAUUAAUUCGAUGCAACGCGAAAAACCUUACCUACCCUUGACAUGUCCAGGAGCCUGAAGAGAUUUGGGUGUGCCCGAAAGGGAGCUGGAACACAGGUGCUGCAUGGCUGUCGU
RNAcentral lists this ribosomal RNA (266 nucleotides) under uncultured bacterium. Its description in RNAcentral is "partial 16S ribosomal RNA". It matches the Rfam family "Bacterial small subunit ribosomal RNA", at positions 793 to 1055 of the family's 1533-position model. The record is from RNAcentral.